GAUCCUGGCUCAGGAUGAACGCUGGCGGCGUGCUUAACACAUGCAAGUCGAACGAAUCACUUAAAUUUGAUUCUUCGGAUGAAGAUUUUUGUGACUGAGUGGCGGACGGGUGAGUAACGCGUGGGUAACCUGCCUCAUACAGGGGGAUAACAGUUAGAAAUGACUGCUAAUACCGCAUAAGCGCACAGGGUCGCAUGACCUGGUGUGAAAAACUCCGGUGGUAUGAGAUGGACCCGCGU
RNAcentral lists this ribosomal RNA (239 nucleotides) under uncultured bacterium. RNAcentral describes it as "partial 16S ribosomal RNA". It matches the Rfam family "Bacterial small subunit ribosomal RNA", at positions 15 to 236 of the family's 1533-position model. The record is from RNAcentral.